This 450-nucleotide ribosomal RNA is filed under the name uncultured bacterium. RNAcentral's name for it is "partial 16S ribosomal RNA". It matches the Rfam family "Bacterial small subunit ribosomal RNA", at positions 354 to 796 of the family's 1533-position model. The record is from RNAcentral.
GUGGGGAAUUUUGGACAAUGGGCGCAAGCCUGAUCCAGCAAUGCCGCGUGCAGGAAGAAGGCCUUCGGGUUGUAAACUGCUUUUGUACGGAACGAAACGGUCCUGGUUAAUACCUGGGGCUAAUGACGGUACCGUAAGAAUAAGCACCGGCUAACUACGUGCCAGCAGCCGCGGUAAUACGUAGGGUGCGAGCGUUAAUCGGAAUUACUGGGCGUAAAGUGUGCGCAGGCGGUGCUGUAAGACAGGCGUGAAAUCCCCGGGCUCAACCUGGGAAUUGCGCUUGUGACUGCAGUGCUGGAGUACGGCAGAGGGGGAUGGAAUUCCGCGUGUAGCAGUGAAAUGCGUAGAUAUGCGGAGGAACACCGAUGGCGAAGGCAGUCCCCUGGGCCUGUACUGACGCUCAUGCACGAAAGCGUGGGGAGCAAACAGGAUUAGAUACCCGAGUAGUCC